AUCACUUCUCGGCCUUUUGGCUAAGAUCAAGUGUAGAAUCCAUACAUAAACAUGUUCAUAUAGAAAACAAUGUUGAAGUAUUCCUUCUGGAAAAUAAUGAAGGUUUAAAAUUUAAUGAUUAAUUGAAAUACUAGGCCCCUUUUG
Molecule: small nuclear RNA, 144 nt
Filed under: Suricata suricatta (meerkat)
Lineage: Eukaryota; Metazoa; Chordata; Mammalia; Carnivora; Herpestidae
Description: U2 spliceosomal RNA (ENSSSUG00005017233.1)
Rfam family: U2 spliceosomal RNA
About the family: U2 is a small nuclear RNA (snRNA) component of the spliceosome (involved in pre-mRNA splicing). Complementary binding between U2 snRNA (in an area lying towards the 5' end but 3' to hairpin I) and the branchpoint sequence (BPS) of the intron results the bulging out of an unpaired adenosine, on the BPS, which initiates a nucleophilic attack at the intronic 5' splice site, thus starting the first of two transesterification reactions that mediate splicing.
Source: Rfam by way of RNAcentral